RNAcentral lists this long non-coding RNA (490 nucleotides) under Rattus norvegicus (Norway rat). RNAcentral describes it as "long non-coding RNA NONRATT000794". Lineage: Eukaryota; Metazoa; Chordata; Mammalia; Rodentia; Muridae. The record is from RNAcentral.
UUUUGCUUUGAAAAUCAUAAAUUAUAAUUUAAUGCCAAUAAUAAUUUACAACAAAUGGCUGUUUACAAUAAGCUAACACAAAACAAACAAGGAAAAGGGCCCGUGUUUUGCUUAGUGGAGAAACUUCACACACUCACAUGGGUAGCACUUGCAAGAGGGGAAAAUAAGCAACCAACAAACCCUCCAUCUACAGGUCAGAUGCUGUGCUGUAAAACAUACUUAUCUUCGUAUUCAUAUUUAUAUAUAUAUCUAUAUAUCUACAGAGGGAAGUUGGGGGUCAGACAGAGAUAUCUGCCUAAAUCAGGGGAGUUUUCAGGUCUGCACUUUAUGCACCAGAACUGAGCAUCAAACUUUAAUGUACUUGGCAGACCGAUCUCUUUUCUUUCACCUCUGUCAUCAGCCCCCUCCCUCGUUUUAGGAUUAAACCACAACAAGGUAAAAGUAUUGUCAGGGAGGGCAGCUUGGAAAAUCUAAAUAAAAACAAAUUACA